UACUUUUAUUGUGUUUUAAUUCAAAAAGGGUUUUUAGAAGAAAAUUUAAUUUAUUUUCAUUUACCAAAAGUAGUGGCCUGAGUUUUGUUUUGAACAGGUUAAGAGAAAUAUUUUUCUGUCCAUUAUUCAAUAAAGUGUUCCACAACUCAGGGCUUUACAUUUGAAAUUUAGUAGCAGAGUAGUAAGUUUUUGAUUGGUUGUAAUUGUAUUUUGAAAUCUGGUAGGAUAUAUGUGAUUCAUUUUUUCAAAAAGUGAACUAAUUUUAACAUUCUCUUGCAGAAGAAGCUUAAAUCGAAAUCUUGGAAAACUUUCAAACAUUCUAGAAGAACUAUAAACUUAUUUAAUAUCAUUUCAUACUUUGUAAUUUGAUUAAAUGAUUAAAUUAAUAUAUUUUUGUA
Hydra vulgaris (swiftwater hydra) is the source of this 398-nucleotide long non-coding RNA. RefSeq lists it as uncharacterized. NCBI's taxonomy places the organism in Eukaryota, Metazoa, Cnidaria, Hydrozoa, Anthoathecata, Hydridae. The record is from RefSeq and is a predicted model, not a curated record.